RNAcentral lists this ribosomal RNA (584 nucleotides) under uncultured bacterium. RNAcentral's name for it is "bacterial SSU rRNA". It matches the Rfam family "Bacterial small subunit ribosomal RNA", at positions 339 to 916 of the family's 1533-position model. The record is from RNAcentral.
CCUCGGGAGGCAGCAGUAGGGAAUAUUGGACAAUGAGCGCAAGCUUGAUCCAGCCAUACCGCGUGUGUGAAGAAGGCUUUCGGGUUGUAAAGCACUUUAAGCAGGGAGAAAAAGUUAUAGGCUAAUACCCUAUGACCGUGAUGUUACCUGCAGAAUAAGCACCGGCUAAUUCCGUGCCAGCAGCCGCGGUAAUACGGAAGGUGCAAGCGUUAAUCGGAAUUACUGGGCGUAAAGCGCGCGUAGGUGGUUUGUUAAGUUGGAUGUGAAAGCCCUGGCUCAACCUAGGAACUGCAUCCAAAACUAACUCACUAGAGUACGAUAGAGGGAGGUAGAAUUCAUAGUGUAGCGGUGGAAUGCGUAGAUAUUAUGAAGAAUACCAGUGGCGAAGGCGGCCUCCUGGAUCUGUACUGACACUGAGGUGCGAAAGCGUGGGUAGCGAACAGGAUUAGAUACCCUGGUAGUCCACGCCGUAAACGAUGACAACUAGCUGUUGGGAGACAAUGUCUUUCAGUGGCGCAGCUAACGUUUUAAGUUGUCCGCCUGGGGAGUACGGCCGCAAGGCUAAAACUCAAAUGAAUUGACGG